Molecule: ribosomal RNA, 225 nt
Filed under: uncultured bacterium
Lineage: Bacteria
Description: partial 16S ribosomal RNA
Rfam family: Bacterial small subunit ribosomal RNA
Source: RNAcentral
UUGAACGCUGGCGGCAUGCCUUACACAUGCAAGUCGAACGGUAGAGGGGCAACCCUUGAGAGUGGCGAACGGGUGAGUAAUAUAUCGGAACGUGCCCAGUCGUGGGGAUAACGCAGCGAAAGCUGCGCUAAUACCGCAUACGAUCUAUGGAUGAAAGCGGGGAGUCGCAAGACCUCGCGCGAUUGGAGCGGCCGAUAUCAGAUUAGGUAGUUGGUGGGGUAAAGG